CUCCAGCGGGCGCACGUCGAUCUUGCGUCAACCGGAAGUGCCGAAGUUACUGGCACAGAUAACUUCCGUUUUGCUGUCGUUCGUAUACAUGAUCGUGCUGCGUGCAUAAGGUGUUGAUAUUUCCUCCUCAAAAUGGCAUAAAUUUCCAGGUAAUGAUUGUGCAGUUGCUGAAAGCAGCGCCUAAAGACAAAAAUAGGCGGGUUGAUUUUCUAUGGUAUACCGAAGGGGCCAGAUCCAGCCCAAAAACAGCGAAAAGACGAGGCGGAACGGAAUGCGAACGACAAGAAUGGAGGCAACACCAUGUCGGCCUAGUUAGGAAUCGUCAAGAUCUGAAGAUAACAUUGUUUUAUAGUAGGCAUGAUAGGUGCCAACUUAGCCUACCCACUGAAUUUCUGCCCACAUCAUACAUGUUGUGCCAGCAUCACUUACACCAUCCCCUAACUUAGUGGCUCACAUGGACUUGAACAAUGUGCGAAGGGACGCCACAAUGUUGAGGACACAACAGCUACUGACAGCAGACUGCAAGGAGUACACUGAUUGAUCUUUUCAGAACUUGCAACACCCAUUAGGAGCUUAAAACUUUAGCAGGCCACAUGCUUCAACCGUAUAUACAGGAUGUUCUGUGCUUGAUCCCAGCCUGGCACACUGUGGAUUUUUUCCUGAGGGAAGCAAUAUAUAGUGUUAAUAAAUUUAUGUUGCAGGAAAGAAAUCACAAGCUUACUUUAUAUUGCAAUUUCCUCAUUCAUUUCAUCUUACCUCCUUGAAAACUGAAGUAGUUGAUUUCAAAGAAUGAAGAUUUUAGGAGGCGUUCUUUAAUCACCAAUAUUAAUGCCAGAGUCCACAGGUCAAGUAUCAUGAUGACUAGUGCACAUUACACAUUUCAUCUGUGUCACAUAAUGUUGUACAUGAGUACCUGCAGAAUCUUUAAGAACUCUGCUCUAUUCCAUAUCUUUGGGGAUACCACUGCCCUCAGUUACGCCACCUACAUAAAAGCCUGUCGUGAAUAUGGACAAAUUCAACUAAUAAAGAAAGGCGUCUUACAGGAUGUUUUAAUGAAACCUCAAUUUUAUUUAACAAAAUUGAUAGAGACAACUUUGAAACUAUUAUAUAAUAAAUGAGGUGCUUGAAAAAAAUAUAAUGUUUGUAUGUGUACAUUGUAAAUCUGUUUAUUUACAUUUUGUAAUUCAGAAUUUUUGGGGAUUUGGUGAUUUGCAAACUAAUCUGAGUAAUGUUUAGAAGUUUUAUAUUUAUGGCUUUUUAUUGAUAUAUUGCAAACAUACCUGUCAACAUAAAAAAAUUUAGUUAGCAGGAAAUCCUAGAAAUUGUUCAUAGUCCACUUUCAUUUUUGUGGGGUUCAUCACAUAAAGGGGGGACGGUUCAAUAUCCCAUCCCCAUCUAAAAUGUGGGAGAAUAUUUUUACCCUCGUGGGUCAUCAAACAUACUCGGUCCAAGUAACUUGGACUCCACCAAUUGCCAUCAAGGAUGUCCAAAUGUUAAAAAUGCAACUCAUGGAGUCCAAAUCACCAGAUUACCAGUAACUAAGCAAAAAUGCCAUUCCCCCUCCAUGCCCUUGUUCAUAUGACAGCUUAAGAAUUAAGUCAUACCAUGGCCAUAUGCCCUGUAAUCCCUGGCAAGCACCUGGUCAAUCAUGACUCAAAAAGAACCUGAUUUUGUGACCGUUAUUUGGUUAAGCAGGAAGUGCUUAUAUUUUUCAUGUUUAGCAAAAAAGGAGGAACCAAAUGUACUGUUUGUUACCUGUCCACUCCUGACCACCAUAACUCCACUCGGCAACAGUGCCCUUUUUAGAAUGUCCUUGUACCUCUGCCCUCUUCUGGAUCCUAAAAUGGCCCCACCUGCCAUACAUCAAUCAUUGUACCCCAUUGGACCUAGCCCCAUGUAUAGAGUGUACAUGUAUAUAAUAUAGUUGUACUCCUGCAUCUGACGCACAAUAAACGAAGCAACCAUCAGAACAACU
RNAcentral lists this long non-coding RNA (1975 nucleotides) under Acanthaster planci (crown-of-thorns starfish). RNAcentral's name for it is "uncharacterized LOC110990914". Lineage: Eukaryota; Metazoa; Echinodermata; Asteroidea; Valvatida; Acanthasteridae. The record is from RNAcentral.